CCCUCAGGAAACCUAGACGUCCCUCACAAUCAAUCGGAAGAGUGAAGAGCCUGCAUAACCCCCAUUAAAUUACGACUGAAGAGCCUGCAUAACCCCCAUUAAAUCGUCCUCUCAAAUCCCCCUGCAGGUCCAAAUCCCCCUUGCAGGUCCAGGUUUCCACGGCAAUCAACAACCCCUUCAAAGAUCCCAAUCAGAUUAUUGAAGUUGCAAGUUGCUAAAGGGCAUUCUGCACCCCAUGAACACCUAGAGAACAACCUGACACAAACACCUACAGAGUUGAACCAGAGGCCAGGGCCUUCAGGACGGCAGUGUAUUGGAGCUCCGAUUGAGCCGAUGGAGGACACGUCUAUUGUGAACGAUGAAGGGCUGCUCAUGAUGCUAUUCAAGAAUAGUUAUUUAAUUAAGCGAGGAAGAUGACUCUAUGGAAACAAUACCCAAAAUUCUCAAGUAUAAUUGUGAAAUUAAAGAGGCAAAUGGGAGCUUGAUGAGUGAUUUGCUGUAAAUGUUGAAGAAAGCAGCAAGUUUAAUGCUUUUAAGGUACUAAAAAUGGGCGAAAAACUUAAGUAUUAGUUGUGUUUUUAAUAGACACCUUGGGAUUUUGGGGAACUGUUUGGUUAUGUAGAUACAAAAGCCUAUUAUUAU
RNAcentral lists this long non-coding RNA (642 nucleotides) under Helianthus annuus (common sunflower). The record is from RNAcentral. Lineage: Eukaryota; Viridiplantae; Streptophyta; Magnoliopsida; Asterales; Asteraceae.